This 524-nucleotide ribosomal RNA is filed under the name uncultured bacterium. RNAcentral describes it as "partial 16S ribosomal RNA". It matches the Rfam family "Bacterial small subunit ribosomal RNA", at positions 28 to 523 of the family's 1533-position model. The record is from RNAcentral.
GACGAACGCUGGCGGCGUGCCUAAUACAUGCAAGUCGAACGCUUCUUUUUCCACCGGAGCUUGCUCCACCGGAAAAAGAGGAGUGGCGAACGGGUGAGUAACACGUGGGUAACCUGCCCAUCAGAAGGGGAUAACACUUGGAAACAGGUGCUAAUACCGUAUAACAAUCAAAACCGCAUGGUUUUGAUUUGAAAGGCGCUUUCGGGUGUCGCUGAUGGAUGGACCCGCGGUGCAUUAGCUAGUUGGAGAGGUAACGGCUCACCAAGGCCACGAUGGAGUGACGACCUGGUAGGGUGCUCGGCCACAUUGGGACUGAGACACGGCCCAAACUCCAACGGGAGGCAGCAGUAGGGAAUCUUCGGCAAUGGACGAAAGUCUGACCGAGCAGCGCCGCGUGAGUGAAGAAGGUUUUCGGAUCGUAAACCUCUGUUGUUAGAGAAGAACAAGGAUGAGAGUAACUGUUCAUCCCUUGACGGUAUCUAACCAGAAAGCCACGGCUAACUACGUGCCAGCCGCCGCAGUAA